CUGUGGAUUUUUCUUCUGUCCCCGGCGCUGGCCAUCGUGCUUGUGUACGUGCCUCUCUCUUUCUCUAUGCGCAUCGUUCACCCAACUGGGUGCCAUGUACACGCGUGAUGUCAGUGACCGCAUUAGCGGCAUCUCCGCAGCGGACCUUGCGCAGCGUUUGGUCGAGAUGUCGGCAAGGAACACUGCACAAGAUGAUGCCUUUACCAAGAGCGUUUCCCAGCGGCCCCUACCACACUGUGUGAGUGCACUGCUGUGGGAUGCGAAAUGCGCUGGGGCAGCCCCGCCGCGGACGGCACUGUUGCGCGGUGAUGUGGUGGACAUGACGUCGUCUGUGUCGGAUGCGACGCUCUCUUGCGUCGCACUUUCACACAAUGUGCGAUUUCGCUUUGCCCGCUCACGGCACAGGCGCCUGACAGGGAUCCUCUCAUCGGCAGCGGCGUCCUUGCCGCUUCGAAUAUGCCGAGUCGGCGUGACACACUUCUACUGGAUGGACGAGUGCGCGCCGGGAGUAUCGUACGACGACGAAUCGGUGCUGUCGACGGUGCUCCAAAAACGGAUUGUGCAAUGGGCCGUAUGCACCUUCGCACGGAAUCCACUGUUGCGCAACAUAUCCCUGCAAGCCCUUGAAGCCGUUUUUCCCGCGCUGCUUGCUUUCUCGCCGCGCGAACGCGAGGAGCUUCUUAAGCAAGCCGCAGAGUUCCUCGGUCAAGGGACACUCAUUUGGUACGGUGGGGCGAUGAUCAAGCAGUUCCACGAAAGCGCCGCCUCACUCGCUCUUCCCCUACUCACAUCCAGUGAGGAACGUUGCUCCGCGGCGCUCUUAUUUGCGCUCUCAACGGCGCAGGAAAUUAUGGGUGCUCGACGUGCUGACGCCGCACAGGCACUUCGCUUUCUUCUCGAGGUGUACGGCGCGCGCUGCGUGGCGCUAUCGCCAGCGCUGACAACCGCAACGCUGCUCGUGUCCCGGGCCAUGGUGCCGCUCUGCACCCGCCGCUGCUUUGGAGCAGGAUCACGUCAGCACAAUCUACUCCAGCCCUACCUCUUCCCAUUAUCCUGCGCAGCUGUGGAGGCGCUGCCGUGGAUUCUACACAGCACCCACACCUCCUCCCCCGAGCUCAACCGAGAGCUCGUACGCCGUACCCGUGAAGCCGCAGCUGCAGUGCUCACCACGGCAGCGCCGUUCGCUGCCACCACUGCUCAAAAGCGUCAGUCACACGAGGACGACGCCACCGCAUUCUUCUCCGCAAAUCACGCGCUCCAAAUACGCCGCGACACACUCGUUGCUCAUUUCAGUAGCGACGUCCCCUCUUCGUUAUCCGCACUGACGGCGGCCGACAGCGGUGUCGUGGCGCGUUCACGCCUGCUGGAAGCGGCGCCCAAAUGGUGGGAGCAAGCGGCGAAAGCGAGCAACAGCGACGUGUCUCGUGACGAGGCAGAGUUGAAGAUCAAUGUGAAGGCCGCGGCCGCAGCGCUGCGCGAGCCCCACGGCGGUGACCACGCGCUGCUCGCCGUUAUGCACCGCACGCGCAAACGUCAGCGCAACGGCGAGCAGCUCACGGCACAGACGGUGGAAACGGCGCUCGAGGGUGCGUCGAUUCGGUUGAAGCGACGCGCCCUCCUACAGCUCGUGGACAUUUUGGCGCUCAAUGCGCACAGCGAGGACCGCCACGGGAAGGCGCGCCAGUACCUCGAGCAGCACCACGUAGCCGAGGCGCAGAUCCGCGACUUCACCAUGCUUUUGUCGUCCACGCGCAAGACGUGAGGUGCACACGUCGCUCCAUCCACCCACUCACGCGUCUGCGAGGGCCGGUUGCUGCAAGACACCCACAGAAGGAAACGUUUUCCUUUGUGGUUUGAGGUGCCCGCUGUGUCUGCCCUACAGCGUGUGUUCGGCCGCACUCUGCCUCUCCUGCCGCAGGAGGCGCCGGAGGGGGGAGGGGGGGGGGCACAUCCAGUAGUGCAAAGCAGCCGCACACACACGCGGUACAGCGAUGCGCCGCCUUCGUCGUCUCGGCACACUCUCCACGCCAAACUCGACCCACCGGCUGAGCAGGUCGCCACACAGUGCAGCCCUCCGGGGGGUUCGGCCUCCCCCGCCAGCAGGCAGUGCGGGGGCCACCUGGAAUGCGUUCGAGCCACGUUGCCACCUUCGCCUAUCGUAUGGAUGGCGCAAGCUUGUUCACCGCCGCAGGUCGCUCUGAUCUCCCUACGCCGUAGGCGCUUGGCCACGUCACCGCCAGCAGUGGCGCUGCACUCGCAUGGGGUUGGGGGAGGGGAGUGUGGGGCUGCUCAGCUCCUCCCCACACAGAGCACGGCUGCUGGAGGCUGAGGGGCCACGCACUGUGGUGUUAUCCCACCCUUUCCCCGUCCCUCUCCUCUCCCCCCAUCAUGAGGGAAAAAAAAGCAAGUGCAAGACAGAAAAAUGCGACAAACGUGGAUGUCCGUUUAGCACCCGGUUCUGCUCUCUCAGUCUGAGAGUCGGCGCUGCCGUGUCUCGCUCAUUCGCACCGCAAUCCAUCGGCGCGAGCGAAGUCUGACGGCAACCUCGCUUUUACCCCCUCCUCCCUUGUGCCUUUCGGGCGGCGAUGGUGAGUACAUUGGCGCGCUACUCCACCUCACAUCUUGCUUCUUGAUUCGCCUUCUCUCUGGCUGCCCAACCUCCUUGUUCAACAG
This 2673-nucleotide unclassified non-coding RNA is filed under the name Leishmania donovani. RNAcentral's name for it is "gene:LdHU3.34.6630(CDS-product:hypothetical_prote in_conserved)". Lineage: Eukaryota; Euglenozoa; Kinetoplastea; Trypanosomatida; Trypanosomatidae. The record is from RNAcentral.